GGCUCGGUGGUGGAUGGUCCACAUCUGUCUCCUAUGUGGAACAUGACUGCAAGCAGAGAAGCCUGUUCGACUCGGGUCCGAGCCA
Mycena alexandri is the source of this 85-nucleotide non-coding RNA. The record is from the annotation of a GenBank genome assembly. Lineage: Eukaryota; Fungi; Basidiomycota; Agaricomycetes; Agaricales; Mycenaceae.